AGUGAACGCUGGCGGUAGGCCUAACACAUGCAAGUCGAACGGCAGCACAGUAAGAGCUUGCUCUUACGGGUGGCGAGUGGCGGACGGGUGAGGAAUACAUCGGAAUCUACUUUUUCGAGGGGGAUAACGUAGGGAAACUUACGCUAAUACCGCAUACGACCUACGGGUGAAAGCAGGGGAUCUUCGGCCCUUGCGCGAUUGUAUGAGCCGAUGUCGGAUUAGCUAGUUGGCGGGGUAAAGGCCCACCAAGGCGACGAUCCGUAGCUGGUCUGAGAGGAUGAUCAGCCACACUGGAACUGAGACACGGUCCAGACUCCUACGGGAGGCAGCAGUGGGGAAUAUUGGACAAUGGGCGCAAGCCUGAUCCAGCCAUACCGCGUGGGUGAAGAAGGCCUUCGGGUUGUAAAGCACUUUUGUUGGGAAAGAAAAGCAGCAGGUUAAUACCCCGCUGUUCUGACGGUACCCAAAGAAUAAGCACCGGCUAACUUCGUG
This 492-nucleotide ribosomal RNA is filed under the name uncultured bacterium. RNAcentral describes it as "partial 16S ribosomal RNA". It matches the Rfam family "Bacterial small subunit ribosomal RNA", at positions 29 to 507 of the family's 1533-position model. The record is from RNAcentral.